Molecule: transfer RNA, 67 nt
Filed under: Dahlica ochrostigma
Lineage: Eukaryota; Metazoa; Arthropoda; Insecta; Lepidoptera; Psychidae
Description: tRNA-Pro
Source: RNAcentral
CAGAGAAUAAUUUAAUAUAAAAUGAUAAUUUUGGAUAUUAUUAAUAAAGAUUUUUCUUUUUCUUUGA